GCUCUGGACGAACGCUUACUGUGUGUGGAACUGGCAGAGACAUCACCGAGCAUCAUCGAAGCGGCCAUUGACGUGGUGGCAUCCAUCGCUCCGUUCCUCAGCUUUCUGCCGCUCGCCAACAGGAUUUGCAUCGAGAUGAAAGAUGCAAGUGGUGUCGCCGAAGUGAUGAAGAAACACAGCUCACAUAAACCCAGCAGUUUGGAGGAACGCACAGUUUGGGAUAAAGUCAAACGUUUUGAGUCUGUGAAGAGCCUAAAAAAGCGUCUGCAGGACUCUGGUCAAACUGUAAUAAU
Sphaeramia orbicularis (orbiculate cardinalfish) is the source of this 293-nucleotide long non-coding RNA. RefSeq lists it as uncharacterized. The record is from RefSeq and is a predicted model, not a curated record. Lineage: Eukaryota; Metazoa; Chordata; Actinopteri; Kurtiformes; Apogonidae. The transcript is spliced from 4 exons.